RNAcentral lists this transfer RNA (44 nucleotides) under Pavonia multiflora. RNAcentral's name for it is "partial tRNA-Gln". The record is from RNAcentral. RNAcentral also lists the same sequence under 2 other names. Lineage: Eukaryota; Viridiplantae; Streptophyta; Magnoliopsida; Malvales; Malvaceae.
GGUUUUGGUCCCGCUAUCCGGAGGUUUGAAUCCUUCCGUCCCAG